AUCGCUGCCUCCAUCUUUUCAUCGUGUCAUCUGACACGUUAAGAAAAACUGUUUUGUGGCAAGUCCUACUUGCCAAGAGAGAUGAGAAGGGUUUUCAAGUUUAGGAUCUGAUACUUCUGGAAUGCCAGGGUGAAGACAAGAGGGAAGAGUCAACAAGACAACCAUAACUGUAACAUUUUGGAAGAAGGCAAUGGCAAUAUUCUUGAACAGUACUGUUGUCAACAAAACAAACAUGCCAAAGUCGCCAAGAAUUUCGCGUGACUGGAAGGAGUCUUGAUUUAUCAAAGGCACCCCACCCUGAUUACUCAACCAUUUGAGAUUGACUAUGGCUUUGAUUUCUCUCUUCAUCACUCUCAUCUCUCUUCAGAUUUUGUAAAGCAUUGACACCAACUCUCAUAUAGGGUCAGUUUGAAAAAAAGAAAGAAAAGAAAAGAAUUAGGGGAAACAAAAGGGUUGGCUUCAGUUUUGGCGGUUGCUUACCUCAGCAAUAAAAGUGGAUGGACGUCUUUGAUAUGGCAGUUUAUUUUUAAAAGGAGAAUGCUAAGAGCCCUGAAGAAGCCCUCGCUCUGCAAUUAAAGCCAGCCUUAUAGAGCGCAGCGAGAGAAGGCAGACAAUCCCCUUUGAAGUAAGUCCCACCUACAUGAUCAGUAAUGGCACAACAUCAAAGCAGAGCUGUUGCUUCCUUCUUCAAUUCAGCUACAGUGUCUGUCAAAGUUAGCGAAGUGAUCCAGCUAGUUUCCAACAAUGCAAACUCAUAGGAACGAAUCCCUUACCAAAGUUCUACUUCUAGUACAGGGGUGGGCAAUUAAUUUUUCCAAAGGGCCGCAUGAGAAACUGGGACUGAUGUGGAGGGCUGAACCAAUAGGACUGUGAAGGUGUGUAUGCACAAAUAUAUGUAAAUUGGAAAAAAAAAAUAGCAGUCACCUUCAAAAUAAAAGAAAUGCAGUUAUAGUGCAUGCAGGACAUA
Molecule: long non-coding RNA, 967 nt
Organism: Pantherophis guttatus
Lineage: Eukaryota; Metazoa; Chordata; Lepidosauria; Squamata; Colubridae
Source: RefSeq, a predicted model, not a curated record